GCAGGUGUGGUGUCAAUGGCAACACAGCAGUCUUGUAAACUGCCUAUGCGAGUUCAAAUCUCGCCAUCUGCU
RNAcentral lists this transfer RNA (72 nucleotides) under [Phormidium] sp. LEGE 05292. RNAcentral describes it as "tRNA-Thr". It matches the Rfam family "tRNA". Rfam says of the family: Transfer RNA (tRNA) molecules are approximately 80 nucleotides in length. Their secondary structure includes four short double-helical elements and three loops (D, anti-codon, and T loops). Lineage: Bacteria; Bacillati; Cyanobacteriota; Cyanophyceae; Aerosakkonematales; Aerosakkonemataceae. The record is from RNAcentral.